AAAGUUUGUUCGAAAUACGUCACACAUGACGAAUCGCAAUUCGAUUGUGUUUCUCGUUGUGAUCGGACGUGCUUUUCUUUCGCUCUUCGAUUUGCGGUUUAAAGACUUUUACAGAGAAGAUUGAAGAUUUUUUAGGUAAGUCUUAGUCCGUAUUGAUACUAGACGUAAGAAUUUAUUUAAUAUUACUUGGAGAAUCGGUCCCAGAAGACAUCUCGGCACAUCGUUCCAUGGUCGACCGUUUGCGCUUCGGAUUCGAAUCUUUUAGAUUUAAAAAGGCGGUUGCGGUGAGCAGUUUGCUUUUACUCGAAAGAAUUUAAGCAUUAAUUUAAGCUUUUCUUUUCACUGGACUAAUUGCAAAUUUUCUUUUUUACAGGAUGAAGACGUUGGUGCUUUGUUGGAGGCGGUUCCGGCGGAGGCAGGCGGUGGCGCCGGAAGGAGAGAGUUCCUCGGACGACGUUGGAGGAGCGGGGGCUCCACGAGCGACACGCAGCGGGUGAAGAAGACUUUCGCCAAGUGCGCGUGGCGUGGCAUCCUCCCGGAGUCGGGAUGAUGCGACGCUACACCCUGGGUCCAGUGCGCUUGGCCGAGGUCUUCGGGGGUCAUCCGGCCACAGACCUUGCUGUGGAGGAUGUCGAAAGUGACAGCUCGUCCGCGACGGCGACGCCACCCCCUUGCCGAAGUGGGAACGGGGAGGAGUCGGAGGAGAGAGUCCCCGAAGUUGAGGGACCGUGCUGUCCGUGGUUUUGUUGCUGCGGUUACCUUGGCCUAGGCGGUGAUCUUCUUCGAUUUCCUCUUCUUCACCCCGGUUGCGACUUUCUUACCGGAUUCGACACUUUUCACCCGGACAUGACACCUUUUAACGGACGUGACCUCUCGUACCCGGACGUGACCCACGGACUUGACACGUUUCUUCACCGGACGCGACAUUCGGCCGACCUUUCUUCCCAAAUAGCUGUUAUGAGGAUUGAGCUUCCGGUUAGGGUUCGUUAGGUUAGCCUAGGCUAGAUCAGGUUCUACGCUCUUCUCAUAACACUGUUCGGGAAGAAAGACUGUCUGAUUAAGGUAAUAAUCUUGACCUUAGGUAAUAAAUGAAUUAACUUCUCGUUUUUUCACAACAGGUCCGUCGAAAAGACACCUUGCGACGAACUAUCUCUAAAGUCAUUUACAGUCCAAUGAGACGAGACAAGCUUCGGGACCAGCUUAGGCGAACUAAGACCAAACGUGAAUCCACUUUCUGAGUCCACAGUGAACUGAACUUCCCGCCACAACUCAAUCCUUUUAUAGGAUUGAAGCAGAAUUGGAUUCCACCAAUCAGCGCUUAGCAGUUCUACAAGACGUCCGCCGAUGGUGUGAUGCCUCUCAACCAAUCAGCGGUCGAGUCUUCAAAAGUGGUCCGAUUGCUGUUCCUAUGGCGACAACCGUCGUUCGUCGAACAAUUGGAAAAGCGCGGGAAAACCGUGCGCCAGACGAUUUUUAUCCCGACAAUCUCCCUCCCCAACUUUACCACGAAGAGGACCAAGUGGCCAUUUAUCGUACAAGUGAAUAUUUUCCGAUGACAUGCCGAAGAUGUUCUUCGAUCACACACAUACACACACGCACAGACAUAACACUACUGUACACGAAGAUAUAUACAGUUUAACCUUUACUCGAAUUCUCGCACUCACGCACUUACACGUCAAGCGCCUCGUUCUGUGUAAUUCGACACAAUGAAACAACCCGAACACACGCUUCCCACAAAUCCAACCCCUGGGUCCUCGUCCCGGGAAGUGGAAACGCCAAUUUUAAAGAUUAAAAGACUUUAAAUUGGCGGCCGAAGGGGCUCUGGUAAUCACACAUCUUGCAUCGAUUAAAUGGAAUUUCAGACAUUAGCAUCAAUAAUCGUUCGGUGAUGAAUUGGGAAGGAGAAGAAUCCUGUACCAAGCAAAUUGCAAGGAAUAAUUUGUUGUAUAUGAUUUUUUUUUAAAUACGAAAAUAAAUUUUUACUUCAUAUUUGUUUA
RNAcentral lists this long non-coding RNA (1997 nucleotides) under Centruroides sculpturatus (bark scorpion). Its description in RNAcentral is "uncharacterized LOC111615859". The record is from RNAcentral. Lineage: Eukaryota; Metazoa; Arthropoda; Arachnida; Scorpiones; Buthidae.